This 877-nucleotide long non-coding RNA is filed under the name Olea europaea subsp. europaea. The record is from RNAcentral. Lineage: Eukaryota; Viridiplantae; Streptophyta; Magnoliopsida; Lamiales; Oleaceae.
AUUUAUCUUUACAAUUUGGUGCUUUUAAGUGUAAUUGUGUAUAUGUUCAUAUGUUUGAAACUGAUUUCUUAAACCUGCUCUUUUUGAGAAACGAACAGUGAUAUUCGAAGAACUCAGUUUUAAUAGUGUUAGCAGAGCAAGAGUUCAAUCUAGUAAUCGCUCGGGCCUCGUAUUUGUGAAUGGUCGCGUCAUUUGUAAGGUGACUAAUUUUUCCUCCGCCUUUACUGUUUUGAAUAUAUAAAAAUCCGAUUUUAUUGCUGAUUUUUUUUUUCAAAUAUCAAACGAUAUUCUUUUCUCUCUGUUUGUCUACGUUUUGUGUAGAAUUUAAGUGCUUAAUUUCGUACUUUUCAAAAGAAAGUGCUAUGCAGUCUUUUCCAUGAUAUUGUGCAUAUUUUAUAAUAAUCUUUCCUAUUUUUGAUCAGGAAUUUUGAUGCUUUUGUAAUUAGGUUAAAACGAAAGCACAAGUACUUGUUGGGGAUCCAAAGAAAAAGAUUAUGUUCUGCCUAGAGAUUUGGUACUUUCAGAUUCUAAUUCUUAUUGUUGGUUUGCUUCCCAAUCUUGAAAUUGUAUUGGACUCUCUGUCUGUUUGAUAAGGCUAAAUUUCACCAAUCUCUUGUCUACUUCAAAAACCAUUUCAUGUUCUGAAAAAUUAAAAUAAUUAGUUAAUUAAUUAAUAUGCAGUGUCAUAGUCCUUGGAUGGGUAUUUAUGAUAUCUGUGGGUUUCAAUGCUGCUACAAGGUAUUUAUGAUAUACUUUAUUUUCCCUUUUUUCAUUUUCUAGUGGUUUGCUAAGUAUGGAAUUAAUUUUUGCUCUUAAUGAAUUAAAUUCAUUACUUUUAAUUAAUUUUAAUUUACAGAAAUUUCACCCAUUGUCAAGG